Long non-coding RNA from Oncorhynchus tshawytscha (Chinook salmon), 1145 nucleotides. Lineage: Eukaryota; Metazoa; Chordata; Actinopteri; Salmoniformes; Salmonidae. The record is from Ensembl.
CUUCAACCUCAGGAGGCUGAAGAAAUGUGUCUUGUCACCAAAAGCACUCACAAACUUCUACAGAUGCACAAUCGAGAGCAUCCUGUCGGGCUGUAUCACCGCCUGGUACGGCAACUGCUCCGCCCACAACCGUAAGGCUCUCCAGAGGGUAGUGAGGUCUGCACAACGCAUCACCGGGGGCAAACUACCUGCCCUCCAGGACACCUACACCACCCGAUGUUACAGGAAGGCCAUAAAGAUCAUCAAGGACAACAACCACCCGAGCCACUGCCUGUUCACCCCGCUGUCAUCCAGAAGACGAGGUCAGUACAGGUGCAUCAAAGCUGGGACCGAGAGACUGAAAAACAGCUUCUAUCUCAAGGCCAUCAGACUGUUAAACAGCUUCUAUCUCAAGGCCAUCAGACUGUUAAACAGCUUCUAUCUCAAGGCCAUCAGACUGAAAAACAGCUUCUAUCUCAAGGCCAUCAGACUGAAAAACAGCUUCUAUCUCAAGGCCAUCAGACUGAAAAACAGCUUCUAUCUCAAGGCCAUCAGACUGUUAAACAGCUUCUAUCUCAAGGCCAUCAGACUGUUAAACAGCUUCUAUCUCAAGGCCAUCAGACUGUUAAACAGCUUCUAUCUCAAGGCCAUCAGACUGUUAAACAGCUUCUAUCUCAAGGCCAUCAGACUGUUAAACAGACACCACUAACUCAGAGAGGCUGCUGCCAACAUACUGACCCGAAUCACUGGCCUCUUUAAACAAUGUCACUCUAAAUAAUGGCACUAUAAUAAUGUUUACAUAUCCUACAUUACUCAUAUCAUAUGUACUGUAUUUUAUACCAUCUCUUGUAUCUUGCCUUUGCCGCUCAGCCAUCACUCAUCCAUAUAUUAAUAUGUACAUAUUCUCAUUCACCCCUUUAGAUGUGUGUGUAUUAGGUAGAUGUUGUGGAAUUGUUAGAUUACUUGAUUACUUGUUAGAUAUUACCACACUGUCGGUACAAGAAACACAAGCAUUUCGCUACACUCGCAUUAAUUACCAUCUGCUAACCAUGUGUAUGUGACCAAUAACAUCUGCUAACCAUGUGACCAAUAACAUCUGCUAACCAUGUGAUCAAUAACAUCUGCUAACCAUGUGUAUGUGACCAAUAACAUCUGCUAACCAUGUG